GGCUGAUGGCGGCGAGGG
Molecule: unclassified non-coding RNA, 18 nt
Filed under: Chlamydomonas reinhardtii
Lineage: Eukaryota; Viridiplantae; Chlorophyta; Chlorophyceae; Chlamydomonadales; Chlamydomonadaceae
Description: small RNA Cre_1877
Source: RNAcentral